RNAcentral lists this long non-coding RNA (166 nucleotides) under Felis catus (domestic cat). RNAcentral describes it as "lncRNA (ENSFCAG00000048858.1)". Lineage: Eukaryota; Metazoa; Chordata; Mammalia; Carnivora; Felidae. The record is from RNAcentral.
GGGACAACACCUCCUUCAGAGUAGCCGCUGCGUUGGGUUUCAGGCAGCCCAGCUGCGUUCUGCGUGACCGAAUCGGACACCUCUCACUUCCUCUGUGAACGGAACUCGGUGUUUGGAUGAUGUGCAGGCUCUUGAAGGUCACCUUGUUCACCCUCUUAGUGCCCCG